GCCUCUGUAGCUCAGUUGGUAGAGCAGCGGACUGAAAAUCCGCGUGUCGCUGGUUCGAUUCCGGCCGGAGGCA
This 73-nucleotide transfer RNA is filed under the name Ruminococcus sp. CAG:177. It matches the Rfam family "tRNA". From Rfam's summary of the family: Transfer RNA (tRNA) molecules are approximately 80 nucleotides in length. Their secondary structure includes four short double-helical elements and three loops (D, anti-codon, and T loops). Lineage: Bacteria; Bacillati; Bacillota; Clostridia; Eubacteriales; Oscillospiraceae. The record is from Rfam by way of RNAcentral.